CAGUCGCCGCGGUAAUACGAAGGGGGCUAGCGUUGCUCGGAAUGACUGGGCGUAAAGGGCGCGUAGGCGGCGAUCAAAGUCAGGCGUGAAAUUCCUGGGCUCAACCCGGGGGCUGCGCUUGAUACUUGGUUGCUUGAGUGGGGAAGAGGGUCGUGGAAUUCCCAGUGUAGAGGUGAAAUUCGUAGAUAUUGGGAAGAACACCGGUGGCGAAGGCGGCGACCUGGUCCUUGACUGACGCUGAGGCGCGAAAGCGUGGGGAGCAAACAGGAUUAGAUACCCGCGUAGUCCCUGUCUCUUAUAC
Molecule: ribosomal RNA, 301 nt
Filed under: uncultured bacterium
Lineage: Bacteria
Description: partial 16S ribosomal RNA
Rfam family: Bacterial small subunit ribosomal RNA
Source: RNAcentral